RNAcentral lists this long non-coding RNA (4892 nucleotides) under Sus scrofa (pig). Its description in RNAcentral is "lncRNA (ENSSSCG00000060806.1)". Lineage: Eukaryota; Metazoa; Chordata; Mammalia; Artiodactyla; Suidae. The record is from RNAcentral.
GUUGUUGUUGUUGCUAUUUCUUGGGCCGCUCCCGCGGCAUAUGGAGGUUCCCAGGCUAGGGGUCGAAUCGGAGCUGUAGCCACCAGCCUACGCCAGAGCCACAGCAACGCGGGAUCUGAGCCGCGUCUGCAAUCUACACCACAGCUCACGGCAACGCCGGAUCGUUAACCCACUGAGCAAGGGCAGGGACCGAACCCGCAACCUCAUUGUUCCUAGUUGGAUUCGUUAACCACUGCGCCACGACGGGAACUCCUCCACAUGUCUGUCUUCUUUCCCCAGUUCCAGGAAAGGCAGCCUCAGCUGCUGUUGGAGAAACAAAUUCUUGGGAGUUCCCAUGUGGUUCAACAGGUUAAGAACCUGAUUAGUAUCCAUGAGGAUUUGGGUUUGAUCCCUGGCCUCACUCAGUGGGUUAAGGAUCUGGUAUUGCCAUGAGCUGCAGUAUAGAUCACAGAUGUGGUGGGAACCUGGCAUUGCUGUGACUGUGGCGUAUGCUGGCAGCUGCAUCUUCAAUUCAGCCCCUAGCCUGGGAACUUCCAUAUGCCACAGUUGUGGCCCAGAAGAAAGAAAGAAAGAAAGGGAAAGAAACCGAUUCUUUCAGAAAAGGGAUACUCCACUCUAUUUGCAAUAUCUCCCUUAUAAAUUAGCCUUACCCCUCUUUGCACCCUUAAAGCUUUGGGAAUCCUUAAGAGUCCCUUCUUUAUUAUACUUCCUUUCCUUAAGCCCUUAUUAACUCCUUAGAAGAUUCAUUUGAAUCUUUUGCUGGGACAGAAGCAGAGUCCAAUGCUGGGGGUGGUGAAUGGAGGGCAAAAACUAGGAGGUGGGCAGGUCUAGAGACAAACUUCCUUUCCUGAGAGCUGGCCCCCUGGCUGGAUGCUGUUGACAUCAUUCAGGCAACUGAUUCAGACCGUGAAGUCUCUGGAGCUAGGGUCACCCCACAUAGGGCAGCGGGGAGCCCGAUAACCAUGGUUUGUUCCCCUACACCCUGCCUCACUGUUCUAAUUAACAAGUUGGGUCCUUUCCAGCUCUUUUACGUGGCUCUCGUGGGGCUGGGCUCCACUGGGGGUGGGUAGACAGUCUUACUUUAAGCAGUGUAUUGAUCUUCACGUGGUCAUGUGCCCCUCUUGGGGGUGCACUCUCAUGUUUUAAGUGCAUGCAGUUACUCUCUUGACUGGCUUGUAAACAGGUUUUAAUGGGGCUAUUAGUGUAAAAGGACAGGAAACUUUCAAAAACAGCCUCUUAAAUAUUCAUGAGGAUGUUAAAUCUGGCGCUUAAUCACCAGUGUUUGCACACAGCUAAAGGGGAGGGAGGACAGCUGACAGGCUGCCUUCACUCUGAACAAUUGACAGGGCAUUAAUAAACGCUCUUAGGGGCAUGAUUAAUGGCCAAGAGAAUACUUUUUUUUUUUUAAACAAACGGAGCCCCUCUCCUUUGGGGACUCCUUUUUCUGGGGGAGGGAGUGUCCAUGUGGGUAUAGGAGUGGGAUUCAAGGGGAGAUGGAAGCUGGAGGGGGGUCACAGACAGGACAAAUUCUUUCUCUUCCGAAAUCAUUAGCUGGAUUACCCACCCCCCCAGUCCCAUCUGACUGUCUAUUUCCCAGACCGUGGUGUCCUCAGGGGAAAUAUUCCAAAAACUUAAGCAGAUAUCUCCAAAGAAUUCCAUACCUGGAGAAUUCUUAACUCAGCUUUGGCAGGGCCAUUGGGGAAACACCUGGGCCUUCAUCGUAGGAGCUCUCUAGAGGGUCAUUAUCAGUUGCCUCUUCAAUACCUUAGUUGACUUGCUUUCAGACUGGAGUUAAAUGCAGACAAAGAUGGUCCAUUGUGGCCGAGGGGCUCCUGCAAGCUGUCUCAUCUCUCCCCAGCCCACCUUUCUACAUGUGAUUUUUUGUUGUUGUUGUUGUUGUUGUUGUUGCUAUUUCUUGGGCCGCUCCCGCGGCAUAUGGAGGUUCCCAGGCUAGGGGUUGAAUCAGAGCUGUAGCCACCGGCCUACACCAGAGCCACAGCAACGUGGGAUCCGAGCCGCGUCUGCAACCUACACCACAGCUCACGGCAACGCCGGAUCGUUAACCCACUGAGCAAGGGCAGGGACCGAAUCCGCAACCUCAUGGUUCCUAGUCGGAUUCGUUAACCACUGCGCCACGACGGGAACUCCUGAUUUUUAUUAUUUAUUUAUUUUUUGUCUUUUGUCCUUUUUUUAGGGCCACACCCAUGGCAUAUGGAGGUUCCCAGGCUAGGGGUCUAAUUGGACCUGUAGCUACCAGACUAUGCCACAGCCACAGCAAUGCCAGAUCCAAGCUGCAUCUGCGACCUACACCACAGCUCAGGGCAACACUGGAUCCUCAACCCACUGAGCAAGGCCAGGGAUCUAACCUGCAACCUCAUGGUUACUAGUCAGGUUCGUUUCGUUUCCAAAGUGCAAAAAAGAAACUGAGGGAGUUCCUGUAGUGGCUCAGUGGUUAACGAAUAUGACUAGGAACCAUGAGGUUGUGGGUUGGAUCCCUGGCCUCACUCUGUGGGUUGGGGAUCUGGCGUUGCCGUGAGCUGUGGUGUAGGACUCAGACACGGCUCAGAUCCUACGUUGCUGUGGCUGUGGUGUAGGCUGGUGGCUACAGCUCCGAUUAGACCCCUAGCCUUGGAACCUCCAGAUGCCUCAGGAGCGUCCCAAGAAAUGGCAAAAAGCCAAAAAGAAAAAGAAACUGAUAAGUCACUGGACACCAGUGACCCUGACUCCUAGUUGACCCCCAUAUCAGUAUGAUGAGACUUCUCUAGGGGAGUCAGAAAGAACAGACACCCAGCUGGUUACUUCAAAAGAGCUGCAGGCUCAAGUAUGCCAGAUCUGGUAGCAAGAUCUAGAUCUGUGCUACCAGACCCCAAACCAGUUUAAGCAUAGAAGAUUCUGGAAAAAUCCCACAAUUUCUGUGUAGUAGGAAACCCCUGUCUCAUUAUCUGAGACCAACUCAGAAAUUCAAAAUAGUUGGGAUAUUUUUUCUUUUUAUGGCCAUACCCAUGGCAUAUGGAAGUUCCCAGGCUAGAGGGUCAAAUCAAAGCUGCAGCUAAGGCCUAUACCACAGCCAGGGGCAACCAGAUCUGAGCUGAAUCUGUGAACUAUGCUGCAGUUUGUGGCAAUGCUGGAUCCUUAACCCACUGAACGAGGCCAAGGAUCAAAACUGAAUCCUCAUUGAGGCUUCAUUUGGUCCUUAACCCUCUGAACCACAAUGAGAACUCCUAAAACAGUUGGGAUUUUUACUGACAGGUUCCAUUUAGAAAUGAAGAAAGGCAUAAAGUUAGAUAUCUAUAAAUAUGUUUAUCCCGUCAUGCUUUAUAAUGGUAGCUCGGGGCAAAGAGAUCAGUGUCUUCUAUAAAACCCUUUCUGAUGCCCAGCCCCUGCUGUCCACAUUCACAUGCUUCUAUCAAGCCCUUCUCAGUACAUGCUACCAAAUUAGACUGGGAUGGGGAAGGUUGUCAUAAAGAUGGAUAACAAUUGUCUCCAUCCCCAAGAUAUAUUCCCUCUUAUUAGCAGUUUAACUCUAGGGCCAUGCCAGAAGGCUGAACAUAGUUCCAGGCUGAGAUCUUGCAAAUAUCACUUUCAUCACCCCUGCUCAAGAAUCUGAGGUGGCUCCCACAACAUCUGGGUUCAGCCAAUUUUGGCUUCACUUCAGAGCCAAAUACAUCCUUUCUUUUCUAGUCAGUGGACCAGGGAACACUCCACAGGCACUAUGACUAUGAUCCUUAAUCACAUAUUUGUUUAGAGACUCUGAAACAUUUUUUUUUUAUGGAAUGCCCACUAGGAAUGAAAAAUCAGCCUCUCUUGCUAAACAGUUUGCAUUAAUGACUUCCAUAAGAGCCAAUCUAUUGAUUUUUUUGUUUUAGAAACAAAACUCCACUUGUCUCUUUUAUCUGGAUAUAUAGCUGGUAGGUGCUGUUGGUAAAGCAACCAUUUUGAGAAAUAGUUUCCUUUUCAUAAUUGGAAUGAAUAUAUUUUGACAGUUUUUAACCAGUAAUGGUUGCAAUGUUUGGUACAAAUGCAAAGCACAGAUGAAGCUUUAAACCCCAGUGGGAUUGGGCACUAUUUUCUCAGUGAAAGGCUGACUCUCAGCUCUAUGAAGUACAAGGACAGAUUCCACAUGCCCUGUUUUGUCAUCAAACUGAUACCAAAUGUUGGGCAACACAACCUUGAUUUCACAGCACACAACUUUGGAUUGCCAUUAUGCCUCAUUCCAAAGUCUCUUAUUCUAUGAUAUCAUUUUUGGUUUGUUUGUUUAAUCAGCCAAAUGAUGUAGGAUCCAGCAUGGUUCACUGAAGACACUUGGACAAGGACUUAGGAAGUUUAGAUUCUACUCCCAGUAGUUUCCUUAAAUUACUCCCGGUAAUCUCCCAGUAUAUAUUCGGCAAACUUCACUUUCCUUACCUGUAAAGUGGGUAGAGUAAAACCUGUCAGAACAAUCUGUUGUUUCAAGUGAAGUCAUACCUACAUUACUACUUGCUAUUUCCAUUUGAUGCUUCACAGGCAUCUAAAAAGGAAAUUUUCCUACAUUGAACUUAAAAUCUUCCCCCCGCCCCCAACCUGUCAAACCUAUUCUUUCUCUGACAUUCCCAAAUCAAUCAGUGGGCGUCACAAACUACUCAGGUGCCCAUGCCAGAAACUAGAGUCAUCCUCUCCCUGCAUUGCAGUUAAUCAAUUACACAUUCCAUUUUUUCUUUUAAGUAAGUCCUUGAUCUAUUCACUCCACUGACCAGCCUAGUCCAAGCCAUUCUCACCUCCUGCCUGAGUAUCUGACUUCAGUCACCUCCUUACUCUCCUACCCAGUAUUGUCUCCUCCAGGUUGUAACCCCUACAGAAGCCAGAGUCAUCCUCUUGUAAUGUAAAUCCACUUGGAUCACUUUCCUAUUUAUAAC